UACGUAGGGCGCAAGCGUUAUCCGGAAUUAUUGGGCGUAAAGAGCUCGUAGGCGGUCUGUCGCGUCUGCCGUGAAAGUCCGGGGCUCAACUCCGGAUCUGCGGUGGGUACGGGCAGACUAGAGUGAUGUAGGGGAGACUGGAAUUCCUGGUGUAGCGGUGAAAUGCGCAGAUAUCAGGAGGAACACCGGUGGCGAAGGCGGGACUCUGGGCCGAUACUGACGCUGAGGAGCGAAAGCGUGGGGAGCGAACAGG
This 253-nucleotide ribosomal RNA is filed under the name uncultured bacterium. RNAcentral describes it as "partial 16S ribosomal RNA". It matches the Rfam family "Bacterial small subunit ribosomal RNA", at positions 524 to 776 of the family's 1533-position model. The record is from RNAcentral.